AUCAGUAGGGGUUCUGAGAGGAAGGUCCCCCACAUGGCACCUGAGACACGGUCCAAACUCCUACGGGAGGCAGCAGUGAGGAAUAUUGGUCAAUGGGCGAGAGCCUGAACCAGCCAAGUAGCGUGCAGGACGACGGCCCUAUGGGUUGUAAACUGCUUUUAUAUGGGGAUAAAGUGAGUUACGUGUAGCUUAUUGCAGGUACCAUAUGAAUAAGGACCGGCUAAUUCCGUGCCAGCAGCCGCGGUAAUACGGAAGGUCCAGGCGUUAUCCGGAUUUAUUGGGUUUAAAGGGAGCGUAGGCCGCCCCUUAAGCGUGUUGUGAAAUGCCGCGGCUCAACCGUGGCACUGCAGCGCGAACUGGGGGGCUUGAGUGCACGCAACGCAGGCGGAAUUCGUGGUGUAGCGGUGAAAUGCUUAGAUAUCACGAAGAACUCCGAUUGCGAAGGCAGCUUGCGGGAGUGCGACUGACGCUGAAGCUCGAAGGUGCGGGUAUCGAACAGGAUUAGAUACCCUGGUAGUCCGCACAGUAAACGAUGGAUGCCCGCUGUGUGCCCUAGAGGUACGCGGCCAAG
Molecule: ribosomal RNA, 571 nt
Filed under: uncultured bacterium
Lineage: Bacteria
Description: bacterial SSU rRNA
Rfam family: Bacterial small subunit ribosomal RNA
Source: RNAcentral